RNAcentral lists this long non-coding RNA (540 nucleotides) under Mus musculus (house mouse). RNAcentral describes it as "long non-coding RNA chr3:88232338-88232878". The record is from RNAcentral. Lineage: Eukaryota; Metazoa; Chordata; Mammalia; Rodentia; Muridae.
ACCAUUCAAUGGUGUAGCCAAGGCCUUUGUGGAGAGGCCCUGGGGAAGAGAGGGCCCUUGUCAUCCAUUCAUCUUGCAGGAGGCUUGGCCCAUGCCAGACUCGCUGGACUCUCCUUCCUGGGAGGUGCCAGGCAACCCCCACCUCCCCUCGUGGCUGCUCCCCCACUUCUAUCAUUUCCUGGGGCCUCAGGGGUUUGGCUGUGAUCCCAGCCAAAAGAUGGUGGGGAGUCCCACCUCCCACACUUCCUCAUUCACACACUGGCACCAGACCUGUGGGAACGCCGGACAGCAGCUGGGCAUUGGUGCCCGGCUCUCCCCUCAGCCCACAGACCUUAGAGAAGGCACGAGGAACAGGGCCUUCCCCCCCUGCGCUGUCCUCAGCACUGAUUGUGAAUCUGGGUACAAACAAGGCCUGUAACCUGGAUAGUAACAGACCUUUCCCAGGAAACCUUCUGACAGGCAUAUAUUCUGGGUCACCUUAACCCUCCCCAUAAUUCUGCUCUGCUCGAAGCUCCAAGGACAAAAAAAAAAAAAAAAAAA